Molecule: long non-coding RNA, 819 nt
Organism: Crotalus tigris (Tiger rattlesnake)
Lineage: Eukaryota; Metazoa; Chordata; Lepidosauria; Squamata; Viperidae
Exons: 3
Source: RefSeq, a predicted model, not a curated record
CUCGACCCAGGCCGAGGCGGAAGCCUUUCUUUUCAGCUGCCUGGGGAUAAUUGCGGUUUUCGAGGUUUAGUGGCUCCCUUACAAUCUUACAAUCCGUUUACGGGAGGGGAGGAGGAACUGAAUUCGGUGGCUUCCGAGCUUUUUCUUUAGUGGAAACAAGUUUUAAGAAUGCAGUAUGGAUCAUCGUAAUGCAAGCUGUACAUCAUUCCAAUUGAAAAGUCUUCCUAUUAAGAAUUUUGAAAGAUUGGCUUUCAGUUUUUGCAUUUGCAGCACAUGGCCACGAGAGAGUAGACCUCCGUUCCCCACGGCUAGUUUCUUCCUGCUUGGGGGACCUCGAUGGGUCUGAAGUUGCCCCGGAGAGGUGACUGUGAAGGAGGGGCGCCCCGUCUAUCAUGAAGCGACGGCAAUCACUUUGUUUGAUCCGAGGAAAGCCCUCCAAACCCCAAGAAGAAAGGCUAGUGUGAAAUCAGCAUCUAGCUCAAGCUGCUUGCAACCGAAGUCCCAGGGCACGAACCUAAACAUUGUUGAACAGCGUGCUUAGAAUUGGUGAGAGUACUGAUCUUCUUUCUUCUAUCUACUAUUUAAAUCCUUGAAAAGAUCCACAAAGCAAGAAAACCUCCAGAAGUGAAGGGAGGGGAAUAUAUCCCCAUUCCAUUACAGGCAGAAGCGGCAAAUUAACAUAAAAGGUAGAAAGAGAUAUAUUAAACUUUGAUUUAAAAUAUUUCAGUCUGGACAAAUCUAGGAACUAAAAAACUGUCAAGAUUAUACCCUAAAAAUUUCUGAUGGAAUUAUAAAAAUAUAUAACAAAAAUAACUUUUU